GUGGCUAAUAACUUGUGGCAAAGAAAAUAUGUUUUUGUUACUAUAGCAAUUGUAGUUUAAUUCCAUAAUGUCAUUGUACGUAUAUAAUAAACAUGGCUAGAAACUUUAUAAACUUCAUAACCGCUCUAGUUGUCUAAUAUAACCUUAUGAUAUUUUUUUAAAGCAAAAGUGAAAAAUGACUUUUUUAUGAUAGUUAUCAGCAGCCAUUUUAAUAAUAUGAGAUAGUGUCACACCU
This 235-nucleotide long non-coding RNA is filed under the name Elaeis guineensis (African oil palm). Its description in RNAcentral is "long non-coding RNA (EGUI_LNC068439)". Lineage: Eukaryota; Viridiplantae; Streptophyta; Magnoliopsida; Arecales; Arecaceae. The record is from RNAcentral.